Molecule: ribosomal RNA, 440 nt
Filed under: uncultured bacterium
Lineage: Bacteria
Description: partial 16S ribosomal RNA
Rfam family: Bacterial small subunit ribosomal RNA
Source: RNAcentral
CCUACGGGGGGCAGCAGUGGGGGAUAUUGCACAAUGGGGGGAACCCUGAUGCAGCGACGCCGCGUGGGUGAAGGAGUGCUUCGGCAUGUAAAGCCCUAUCGGCAGGGAAGAAGCAAGACGGUACCUGACUAAGAAGCCCCGGCUAACUACGUGCCAGCAGCCGCGGUAAUACGUAGGGGGCGAGCGUUAUCCGGAUUCACUGGGUGGAAAGGGAGCGUAGACGGCCAAGCAAGCCAGGGGUGAAAGCCCGGGGCCCAACCCCGGGACUGCCCUUGGAACUGCAGGGCUGGAGUGCGGGAGGGGCAGGCGGAAUGCCUGGUGUAGCGGUGAAAUGCGUAGAUAUCAGGAGGAACACCGGCGGCGAAGGCGGCCGCUGGACCGCGACUGACGUUGAGGCUCGAAAGCGUGGGGAGCGAACAGGAUUAGAUACCCGGGUAGUC